Molecule: non-coding RNA, 399 nt
Organism: Pelobates cultripes (western spadefoot toad)
Lineage: Eukaryota; Metazoa; Chordata; Amphibia; Anura; Pelobatidae
Source: the annotation of a GenBank genome assembly
CAGAAACUCUCCUGCUAUGUAAUCACAUUAGAAUGCCGUCACAGAAAAUGGAACAUAUGGGUGAGAGGAGUGCCAGAAAAUAUUGGAGGGGAAGCAUUACUACACUUUAUCCAACAACUAGUGGCUUUGAUGGGCCUAACAGGAAAAGAAACCAUAGGAAUGAUAUAAGCAACUUUCCGUGUCUGCAGAGCAGCGAUCGUUCCACAAGGAACAUCCAGAGAUAUAAUUGCAGUCAUCAGAGACAUUGCGGUUUGAUCCGCCAUCAUAUCUAAGUCCAGAGAAUUAGGCACUAUUCACUUUGAAGGCUGCUCUGUGUCCAUGUAUGUAGACUUAUAAUUUACAGUGCUGACAGCGAAGAGGCAGCUAGCAAAAACAGCCAAAGUGCUCAGAGAACCAGAG